AACGAACGCUGGCGGCAUGCCUAACACAUGCAAGUCGAACGAGACCUUCGGGUCUAGUGGCGCACGGGUGCGUAACGCGUGGGAACCUUCCCUUAGGCUCGGAAUAACUCCCCGAAAGGGGUGCUAAUACCGGAUAAUGUCUUCGGACCAAAGAUUUAUCGCCUUUGGAUGGGCCCGCGUUGGAUUAGCUUGUUGGUAGGGUAAAAGCCUACCAAGGCUACGCUCCAUAGCUGGUCUGAGAGGAUGAUCAGCCACACUGGGACUGAGACACGGCCCAGAAUCCUACGGGAGGGAGCAGUGGGGAAUAUAGGACAAUGGGCGAAAGGCUGAACCAGCAAGGCCGGGAGAGUGAUGAAGGCGUUAGGGUUGUAAAGCUCUUUUACCCGGGAUGAUAAUGACAGUACCGGGAGAAUAAGCUCCGGCCAACUCCGUG
Molecule: ribosomal RNA, 433 nt
Filed under: uncultured bacterium
Lineage: Bacteria
Description: partial 16S ribosomal RNA
Rfam family: Bacterial small subunit ribosomal RNA
Source: RNAcentral